Molecule: ribosomal RNA, 253 nt
Filed under: uncultured bacterium
Lineage: Bacteria
Description: partial 16S ribosomal RNA
Rfam family: Bacterial small subunit ribosomal RNA
Source: RNAcentral
UACGUAGGUGGCGAGCGUUGUCCGGAUUUAUUGGGCGUAAAGCGCGCGCAGGCGGUGCGGUAAGUCUGUCGUGAAAUCUCCCGGCUCAACUGGGAGGGUGCGGUGGAGACUGCCGGACUGGAGGCACUCAGAGGCCGGUGGAAUUCCCGGUGUAGUGGUGAAAUGCGUAGAGAUCGGGAGGAACACCAGUGGCGAAGGCGGCCGGCUGGGGGUGACCUGACGCUGAGGCGCGAAAGCGUGGGGAGCGAACCGG